GGGGACGCGUGCGCAGUGCGCGGGCUGGCCGUCGCGGACGCCGCUCCAGGCAGCCGAGCCUCUGUGGGAGCCGGGGCCGCGGCGGCGCGGGUGCUCCGGGCCGAGGCCGCGUGUAAUGUUCAAGCUCAGAAAUGCCUUAUGUGGAUCGUCAGAAUCGGAUUUGUGGUUUUCUAGACAUUGAAGAAAAUGAAAACAGUGGGAAAUUUCUUCGAAGGUACUUCAUACUGGAUACCAGAGAAGAUAGUUUCGUGUGGUACAUGGAUAAUCCACAGAACCUACCUUCUGGAUCAUCACGUGUUGGAGCCAUUAAGCUUACCUACAUUUCAAAGGUACCAAAGCAGUCAGACUCACAGCCUAAUUCUGAUAACCUAAGUCGCCAUGGUGAAUGUGGGAAAAAGCAAGUGUCUUACAGAACUGAUAUUGUUGGUGGCGUACCCAUCAUUACUCCCACUCAGAAAGAAGAAGUAAAUGAAUGUGGUGAAAGUAUUGACAGAAAUAAUCUGAAACGGUCACAAAGCCAUCUUCCUUACUUUACUCCUAAACCACCUCAAGAUAGUGCGGUUAUCAAAGCUGGAUAUUGUGUAAAACAAGGAGCAGUGGUGA
Molecule: small RNA, 603 nt
Filed under: Pan troglodytes (chimpanzee)
Lineage: Eukaryota; Metazoa; Chordata; Mammalia; Primates; Hominidae
Description: processed transcript
Source: RNAcentral